GGGGGUGUACCGGUUUCGACUGGUACGGUUCGGGGUGCAGAUUGCAGGUGGAGUGCCGAGCUCCUAACAUUCGGCAACAAUUUAACUGCCAACUACGACAGUUACGCUCUCGCUGCAUAAACAGCGGAACGCGGAAACCGGCUCCGCCGCCUUGAGGGGC
Molecule: transfer-messenger RNA, 160 nt
Filed under: Spirochaetaceae bacterium
Lineage: Bacteria; Pseudomonadati; Spirochaetota; Spirochaetia; Spirochaetales; Spirochaetaceae
Description: partial transfer-messenger RNA
Rfam family: transfer-messenger RNA
About the family: Bacterial tmRNA, also known as 10Sa RNA or SsrA, is named for its dual tRNA and mRNA-like properties. Its role is to liberate the mRNA from a stalled ribosome.
Source: RNAcentral